RNAcentral lists this long non-coding RNA (14197 nucleotides) under Homo sapiens (human). Its description in RNAcentral is "non-protein coding lnc-ANKRD27-2:14". The record is from RNAcentral. Lineage: Eukaryota; Metazoa; Chordata; Mammalia; Primates; Hominidae.
GAGUCCGGUCUGUUCCGGAGACUCUGAGCGCGGCCGCGGAGCUGCAGUGGCGGGGAGUGGGGUGCGGAUCUUGUGUUUGCGCACGCAGUCGCCGGCCACCUCAGGCCGGAGCUAGAGAUACGGCUCGGGAUAGGAGGGCCCGGCGGCUCUGAGGCAGGUUCGCCUCGAGCCGCACGGCCCGGAGCAGCGGCUCCGCGGUGGUCCCCGGGGCUUGAGAGGGGUGCGGGCCUGGGAGCCCCUGAGGGCCUGAUUUACGGAACUCCCCCUCCUUCCUCCUUUCUGCCGUUCCCUGCUCUGUGGCGGAUGCGCAGGGAUCAGUAGGGACGGCAGCAGUAGGGCCACUCGGGCCUGCCCCGCUUCCCGCAUUGCCCGGUUUGGCGCGCCGCCUCCGGGCCUUGGCAAAGCCCCAGCGCCCGAUUGUCACUGACCAGUGCUUGGAAGUCCUUUACCGACUGCCCGUCAGCGUCCCGCGGAGAGGAUUUUGCGUCUCCAAAGACGCCCCUCUUCCGAAAACAGGCUCCUCUGUGUUCUCAGUCGGGUAUAUUUUUCUGUCUCCAAACUAGAUUGGCAGCCGUUUUUUGAGAGCAGGGAUGGCCAUCUGGGACCUCCACCCGUGAAAAGGCGGCUCAUUGGUCUGACUCCAACACUAAAUUACGCCAUCCAGGAAGCCUUUCCUAGUCACCUCUGUUGGAGAUCGUCCUCCUUUGUGUGUCGGUUGUUAGUAAAGAGCACACGUUCUGUGGAAAGAUGUUGAGGUAUCUGCUGGAUGGCUUUGAUAGAAACAAAUGUCAGCUGUUUUUUCAGAUGGCAUUUGUCUUGUUUCAGCCUGGUUGUUGGUAGCUUUUCUGUCGCCUGGCUUGAGGGCAAGGACUGUAUGUUUAUUUUUCACGUUAAGAUGCCUUUAUGUGCAUGUGUCUGUUUCAUGAAUACAUAGGUGAAUUGAGUUCCCCUUAAAUAGGAUUUCCCUCUUAUUUUAUAGGUUUUUUUUUUUCUCUCAAGUUGUUUCACUCUGGGGGAAAUGUGACCAUUGUGAAAUAUCAUCGCUUAGUUAAAAAGAAAGUAGAAUUCAGCAGUAGCUGCUUUUUUUAAUACUAUGAAAAGACAUUCCUAAGCAAGAUGAAGCUUUGAGACUUUUCCUAAGUAGGACCUACUGCUGAGAGUAAGUCUUGGGGAGAAUAAGCCAAUUAAGAAUGAGUCUUUGGUUCUGAUAAAGUAACCAUGGAGGUGAUGGAUAAUGAGUGUAGGUCCUUGCUCACACUUCUGGCCAUAUGAGCCCGGAGCCAGGGAGGUACUAUAAAAGGAAUGGGCUCCUGUAAUGGACUGUGACUGCAGUGGUGGUAUAUAGCAAGACUUCCGGUUUGCAGUAGGUUUAGAAGCCUAAAUAGUCUCCCUGGUUGUCUCUGCCAGGGCCACAAAUAGUUGUGCUGUGCAUCUCAAAAGUGUGGUCUGGGGAUCUGCAGCGUCACUGUCACCAUCACUUGGGAGGUUGUUAAGAAAUGCAUGUUAUCAGGCCCUACCCCACGCCUACUCAAUUUAGAAUCUGUAGGGCUAGGGGACCACUAAUCUUUAAGAAGUUGAUAUGGUUAGGCUUUAUGUCCACACCCAAAUCUCAUCUUGAAUUGUAAUUCCCAUAAUCCCCACCUUUCAAGGGAGAGACCAGGUGGAGGUAAUUGAAUUAUGGAGGCAGCUUCCCCCAUGCUGUUCUCAUGAUAGUGAGUUCUCACAAGAUGUGAUGGUUUUAUAAGGGGAUCUUGCCUCUUCGCUCAGCACUUCUUCCUGCCUCCUUGUGAGGAAAGUGCCUUGCUUCCCCCUUUGCCUUCUGCCAUGUUUGUAAGUUUUCUGAGGCUUCCCCAGCCAUGCUGAACUGUGAGUCAAUUAAACUUCUUUCCUUUAUAAAUUACCCAGUCUUGGGCAUUCUUUGUAGCAGUAUCCUUUAUAGCAGUAUGUAUAGCUGUAUGGACUAGUACAGAAGUUUUCCAGAUAAUUCUGUGCUCGGAAAAGUUUGGGAACCACAGCAGAACCUUGUUACUCAACAUGUGGUCUGUGGGCUGUGCAGCAUGGGCAUCACCUGGGGUCUUCUGAGAAAAGCCAGGUCUCAGGUCCUACCCAAGACCUGUGUAGCCAAAAUCUGCAUUUUAAUAUGACCCCCAGGUCAUUUAUGUGUACAUCACACUUUGAGAAGCACUGCACCAGAAAUCUUUUAACACUGUUCAUUACAUCCAUCCCAUGGAAGUAUCUUGUCUUGGGAUCCCGAGGGUGUGAGUUCUUCCGUCUUACUGGCUUUUUCCUGUCUGAUACAUGAUGUCCAUUUUAAAAAUUUUAUUUAUUUUAACUUUUUGAGGUAGAGUCUAACUUUGUCACCCAGGCUGGUGUGCAGUGGGGUGAUUUCGGCUCACUGCAACCUCCGUCUCCCGGAUUGAAACGAUUCUCCUGUCUCAGCCUCCUGAGUAGCUGGCAUCACGUGCUGGCCACCACGCCCGGUUAAUUUUUGUAUGUUUAGUAGAGACAGAGCUUCACCAUGUUGGCCAGGCUGGUCUCAAACUUCUGAUCUCAAGUCAUCCACCUGCCUUGGCCUCCCAAAGUGCUGGGAUUACAGGUGUCCUCCACUGCGCCCAGCCCAGUGUUCAUUUUUCAAUUGUUUGACUUAGUAUAAACACUCUCCAUCAUUCCUGCCUUCUGUGACAACAGACUGUGCGUGUUUCCUCUGUCUACCUUUCAGGCAUUCCUUUUAAGUUUCAUGCAGCUACUCCUCCUCCCUCCUCCCUUCUCUUUCUCUUCUUUCUUCUUUUCUUCUUUCUUCCUCUUCCUUCUUCUUCCUCUUCCUCCUGUUCUUCCUCCUCCUCCUCUCUUCUUUCUUCUUCUCCUCCCUUCUCCCUUUUUGGAAAGAGGACUUACUGUGUCAUCCAGCCUAGAGUGCAGUGGCUGAAUCAUGGCUCAGUGCAGCCUUGCUCUCAAAGGCUCAAGCAAUCCUCCCAUCUCAUCUUCCAGAAUAGCUAGGUUACAGGCAUGCACCACCAUGCCUGACUAAUUUUUUAAAAAUUUUUUUGUAAAGAUUGGGGGUGGCAGGGGGUCUCUCUGUUGCCCAGGCUGGUCUCAAACUCCUGGGCUGCAGCGAUCCUCUUGCCUCAGCCUUCCAAAUUGUUGGGAUUACAGGCAUGAGCCACCAUGCCUGGCCUCCUCUUCCUCUUAAAAAUCAAUGAUUCUGUGGCCCGUGGAUCUGAUUUCCACUGAUACUCUGAUAACUCCUGUUUUUAUGUCCAGGUGUAUCUCCUGGUCUCCAGGUGCCAUAUGUCCACUGCCUAUUGGACAUUUCCAUGUGUGUAAACACCUCAAACUCAACAUGUUAAACCUUUUUCUAAUCCCCACACUUGCGGUUCCUUCUGUGUGCUCCAUUUACCUUAUUGCUCAAAUCAAGAGCCUAGAAGCCAUCCUUGAUUCCUCUCUAUUGUGUAAUCCACACAUCCAAUCAUCCAUUGAGUCCUGUUGGCAUUUAUCUCGUAAAUACCUCAGAUCUUGUUCACUUUGCUCAUCUCUGUUGCCACCACCGUAGUCCAUUUACCUGUAUGUAAUAACCAUAGUGAUCUUACUAAAAUAUAAAUCCCUUGGAGGCGUUUUGGCUUUAUUAUAAAAAUUAAGCUCCAUGACACAGCUUGUAAGGACUGCCACGAAUCAGGCUCUGUUUCCCUCUUCAACCUCUCCUUCACUUUCUAUUCACAUAAACCUCUGUCAGAGGUUUGUCACGUGGCUUAUAAAAAGUCUUAAACCCUCUUUAAUUGACUAGGUACUCUUCAGCCUUUAGACCUCAGCUUACACGAUCUGUGCUGCCUCAUGUUUAUCCUCAUACAGUAUCCGGUUCCACAGAAUCAUGGUUUUUCUUUGUGAACAACAGAAUACCGUGGAAGUGACAGUGUGGGACUUCUGAGGCUAAGUCAUAAAAGACAUCCCAGUUUCAGCCUUAGCCUCUCUUGGAUUGCUCACUUAGCGGGGAUGCCAGCCACCAUGUAGUGAGGACACUCAAACUGCCUGUAGAGAAGGCCACGUAGGCAACAGCCUGCACCACCUUGGCAGCCAUGGGAGUGAGCCAUCUUGGAAGUAUUAGGUUGGUGGGACAUUAAAAGUAAUGGCAAAAACCAAGAUUACUUUUGCACCAACCUAAUAGAUCGGCCAGCUACAGGUCAGCCUUCAGAUGGCGGCAUAAGAGAUCUUGGGCCAGAAGUGCCCAUCUAUGCCACUCCCAAGUAUUUGACACACAGAGACUAUGAGGAUAAUAAAUGUACAUUGUUUUUUUAAGCCACUAAGUUUUGGGGGUAAUUUUGUACAAUGAUAGAUAACCAAUACAAUAUCCACCGUAUGUAUGUGUUACGAUUUAUUUAUUCCCAUCUAGUUGGACAUCUAGGUUGUUUCUAGUUUUAUGCUAUUUCAGGGAAUGCUGUAAGAACAUACUUAUAUUUAUGUAACUCUUUAGGAUGUAUUUCUGGAAACAGGGUUGUUGGAAUUCAUAUUCUUUUUUUUUUUUUUGAGACAGAGUCUCACUCUGUCGCCCAAGCUAGAGUGCAGUGGCGCAAUCUUGUCUCACUGCAACCUCUGCCUCCCAGGUUCAAGCGAUUCUCCUGCCUCAGCCUCCUGAGAAGCUUGGAUUACAGGCACCCGCCAUCAUGCCGGGCUAAUUUUUGUCUUUUUAGUAGAGAUGGGAUUUCACCAUGUUGGCUAGGCUGGUCUUGAACUCCUGACCUCAAGUGAUCCACCCGCCUCGGCCUCCCAAAGUGCUGGGAUUACAGUUGUGAGCCACCAUGCCCAGCCCUAGAACUCAUAUUCUAAAUUGUGAUAAACAUUGGUAAACUACAUUCCAAAAAGGUUAAAGAUUCUAUUGUUUUUCUCUUCCACCAGUGGGUAUUAUGACACUUAUUUCUCCAUGCCAUUGCCAACAAUUAGUUUUUAAAUCUUUGCCAAUCUUAGGUGACAAAUAAUACAUGAUUAGUGUGCAUUCUUUAUUAAUGAGGUGAAGACAAUAUAUCAGGAGUUUAUUGGCUAUUUGCAUUUCUUUUGUAUAAUUUGUCUUUUUGUGUUCUUUCACCAUCUAUUUAAUCUUGCUGUGACGGGAUUAUUUAUAGAUUAUGAGUUUUUUUUGUUUUUGUUUUCGAGACAGGGUCUUGCUCUGUUGCCCAGACUGGAGUGCAGUGGCGCCAUCUCAGCUGACUGCAGAUUCAACCUUCUGAGCUCACGAAAUCCUCCCAUCUCAACCUCCUGAGUAGCUGGGACCACAGGUGUGUGCCUGGCUAAUUUAAAACAAUUUUUUGUAGAGAUGGGGUUUUGCCAUGUUGCCCAGGCUAGUCUUGAACCCCUGAGCUCAAGGAAUCUGCCCACCUCGGCCUCCCAAAGUGCUGGGAUUACAGGUGUGAGCCACUGCGCCUGGCCGAUUAUGGGUAUUUAUUAAUCUGUUGUCAUAUAUGCUGCAGAUAGUUUCUCAUUAUUGUGUAUCUGGUAUGAUGUCUUUUGCUAUGCAGGGAUUUUCCAUUUUUAUAUUGUCAAAUUUCUUUUAUACCUUCUGGGUUUUUCCAUCAUGCUUAGAAAAACCUUCCCCAUCUCAAGAUUGUAAAUGUUUUUUAAUUCUUUCUGCUAGUAUUUAAAAAUAUUAUAACUUUUUAAUAUGGUGUGGGAGAGACUUGACAAUUUUUUUUUAAAUUAGAUAGUUGAUUAUUUCACCAUCAUCCUUACUCUACUGAUUUAAAUUACCUGUACCACAUACUGAAUUCCCAUAUGUAUAUGGCUUAUUUAUAAGCUCACUCUUUUUUUUUUUUUUUUUUUCUGGAGACAGGGUCUUGCCCUGUGGCCCAGGCUGGAGUGCAGUGGCAUGAUCUCGGCUCACUGCAACUUCCACUUCCUGAGCUCAAGCAGUUCUCCCACCUCCGCCUCCCAAGUAGCUGGGACUAUAGGUGGGACUAUAGCCACCACGCCUGGCUAAUUUUUGUAUUAUAAGAUGACACUUAUGUUUAAAUGAUUUUAAAAAGUAAUUAGUCUUGAAACAGUUCUACAUGUUUUUAAUUAUUUUAUAGAAUGUUUUCAUAUUGAGAGGGCAAUUGACCCUUCAUUACACUUCUUUUAACCACAUAUUUUGGCAAUUUCUGCAUAUUUAUUUGCUCAGAUAAACUUUAUAAUCAUUUACUAAGUUCUAAAACAGAAUCCAUGGAAAUUUUUACUAGAAUUAUAUAAAGUGUUUAGAAAUGUUUGGGAGAAAUGAGAUAUUUACAAUGCUGAGUAUUCCCUUACAGAAACAUGUAUGGGGCAGUUUGGUAUACUACAUAUAUUUUUUUCCAACAGUACUUUCAUCCAAUUUAGUUGACUUUUCAAGUAUCUUGGUAAAAGUCAAUGCAAUGGUCGCCAAACUUCUUUUAUUUAUUUAUUUAUUUAUUUAUUUAUUUAUUUAUUUAUUUAUUGAGACAGGAUUUCACUCUGUUUCCCAAACUGGAGUGCAGUGGCGCGAUCUUGGCUCUCUGCAGCCUUGACCUCCUGGGUUCUAGCGAUUCUCAUGCCUCAGCCUCCUGAGUAGCUGGGACUACAGGCGUGUACCACCACACCUGACUAAUUUUUGUACUUCCAGUAGAGAUGGGGCUUCACCAUGUUGGCCAGGCUGGUCUUGAGCUCCUAGCUUCAAGUGAUCUGCCUGCCUUGGUCUCCCCAAAGUGCUGGGAUUACAGACGUGAGCCAGUGCGCCCAGCCUCCAAACUUUUAUCAGAAAAAAAUUUUGUCUUCUCUUUCUGUAUACAUAUAAACAUUUUUUUUUUUAAAUGAGGCAAGGUCUCACCAUGUUGCCUAGGCUAGUCUUGAACUUUUGAGCUCAAGUGAUCCUCCAGCCUUGGCCUACCAAAAUGUUGGGAUUACAGGCAUGAGGCACCACACCCAGCCCAUAUAAACAUAUUUUUAAGCAAAGUGACUACACGUGGAAAUCCUAGUGUUUUCUGCAUACAUUCCAUUGGAUUGUUUUACACACACUGUGUAUGACUCAUGUCAGAGACCACAGAGGUGGGGCCUGUCUAUGGCAGUCCUCUGAGAUUGGCUUGGCAUGCGUGGGUCUUAGGGAACCCAGGCCAAGUGUCAGGGAUGAGCUUCCUCUAUGCUCGCAUCAUUCCAGAGUCCCACAGUCACUGACAUCACAUUGGAUUCCUCUUUCCCUCCUUUAAAAUGUUUGUCAAUAGAUGGCUUCUCCUCUGUGAGUCUUCAUGUGGCAGGCCAGGUCUCACUAAUGCAGGCCUCCAUGACAACCGUUUCAGUACUGACUGAGUGGCGAAGUUAAAUAUUAAAAGCUGAUAGAGCCAGUGCCCUAUACAAAUGCUGGAAUGUAACAAAAGCCCACCAAGAGUUCUGCCCUGGCCUUUCCUGGGCCUUGAAGCAUGACAAGAUAAUGAGGAAUUUUCCACAGGACCCGUUUGGGAUUAUACAGGUUUUAUUGGGGGUCUGAAGAAACUCCCCAGGCCUCCACAGGCAAGUUUAUUGGGGUCUGAAGGAACUCCCCAAACCAUGAUUUAGCAGGAAACAAGAUAAGGGUAAUCACCCCAGCACCUGGACCCAUUUAGAUUAAAUAAAUUUACUGAGGCUCCAGGGGAAGGUCUUCAGGACUCAGAUCUUAGUUAGAGAUCAGAAAAAGUCGACCACUUAUGUCUGUAGAUGAAUGCACACUUACACACAGACAUAUAGCUUAGAAGGUAUAUAAGCUCUGGAACACUGUGAUUUUGAGUUGGUCUGGGGAUAAUUUCUAGGCCUUCUCCCUGUAUCCAGUUACAGAAAUAAACUCCCUCCUUUCCCAGUUCAUCUGCGUCUCAUUAUUGGGCUGUGAGAAUAAGCAGCCUGACCCUCGAUUUGGUCCGGGAACAUUCAGAAAAAGCAUUAUGAAAUAUUGUUUGUGUUUUUUCUCUUCCUUUGUUCAACUUUAUAUUAACUAGAUUUGUAGUGCUUUAAAAUAGUGAAAUUUUUAGACAGAUUAGCGUAGGUGCACAAAUCCAAGGAUUCUAUAAAAUGUAAAGUUCACAAAGUAUUUACAUAUGGAAUUUUUGUUUCAUUUUCUUUUAAAUUAUUAUUGUUACUAUUUUUGAGACAGAGUUUCUCUCUUGUCAUCCAUUGCACUCUUGUCAUCAGACCGAGUGCAAUGAUGCGAUCUCAGCUCACUGCAACCUCCAUCUCCUGAGUUCAAGUGAUUCUCCUGCCUCAGCCUCCCAAGUAGCUGGGAUUACAGGCAUGCACCACCACGCCUCACUAACUUUUCUGUGUUUUUAUUAGAGACAGGGUUUCACCAUGUUGGUCAGUCUAGUCUCAAACUCCUGACCACAGGUGAUCCACGUACUUUGGCCUCCCAAAUUGUUGAUAUUACAGGUGUGAGCCCCUGCACCCGGUUAAUUUUUAGUAGAGGUGGGGUUUCAGUAUGUCGCCCAGGUUGGUCUCAAACUUCUGGCCUCAAGCAAUCCUCCUGCCUUGGCAUCCCCCAGCGCUGGUAUCACAGGGGUGAGUCACUGUGUCUGGCCUCAUUUUCUUCUUUAACACCUGCUUCUCUGCUUACCUCUACUUGUCUGUACUUUCUUCAUUUCCAUGGUUACCACCUACACUUUUUUCCAUUUCCAUGGUUAGAAUAACUGUUGUGUAUUUUUGAAUGAGGACACGAAUAGGUAAGGUAUUCAGUUAAAGCAGAUGAUGAUGUUUUAUUGCAUAAGCUUUUGCCACAUGUGCUGAUUCUCUAGAUGUUAGUCCGAGAAUCAGUGUCCUUGGCUGGUCCUUCUGGUUUGUUUCCUUGGACUGCUGUAAUGUCAUUUCCUGCAAAACAGGCAUGUACACAUGUGUCCACAAAUCUCAGCAGCAGAUUUUUCCCACUAAUAGAUGCCAAGGCAUAUUGUCAGGCCUGGGACUUUUUUUUUUUUUUUUUUUUCCCUGUUGUAAGCAGGACUUUCAGCCAGAAAAGGAUGUGUUUCUAACACUCUCGAAUUCAGACAUUUUAUCAUGCCUUAAAUUAUGGCUAAUCUAGUGCAGGGCUGGAUUUUCACUAACACUUAUCAAGUGCUCCCCACAAACCUUCCUGAGUCAACUGGUGGACAGAGAUGAGCUAACCCAAAGGACUCCUUAUGCAUAAAGUCCACAGGUUUGAUUGCAACUGUCCAGGUCCAAAAGCUCUGAGAUGGAAACUAUCCCAACAGCUAGAUGGAGUCUAGCUGUACUGAGUUGAUUUUGUUGUACUUUAGUGAUUCUCCACGUGAUAGAGGUAACAAAUCCAGCCUCCUCUCACAGGUUUCUCAUCACAAUCUCUUGACCCUUUUGGAUGUUCAGUCAAGAUACCAGGAAAUGAGGUUUGAAAUAAAUAGCUUUUCCUGUAACUAUCUUCAUUAAACCAGUUCAUUUAAAUACAAGGGUGAAUUCCCUAUGGCAAUAUGACCCCCCAGUGGGAAAAAACUGGUCCCUGGGGGUUGAAAAAAAUUACUAUUUUUAUGUAUAAAGCAUAGAUGUACAGACUUGGCGCUGUGUCUCAUGCCUGUAAUCCAGCAUUUUGGGAGGCCGAGGUGGGCAGAUCACCUGUGGUCAGGAGUUAGAGACCACCCUGGUCAACAUGGCAAAACCCCGUCUCUACUAAAAAUGCAAAAAUUAUCCAGGUGUGGUGGCACGUGCCUGUAGAUGCAGCUACUCAGGAGGCUGAGGCAAGAGAGUUGCUUAAACCUGGAGGCGGAGGUUGUGGUGAGCCAAUGUCACGCCACUGCACUCCAGCCUGGGUGACAGAGCAAGACUCCGUCCCAAAAUAAAGAAAAAAGGAAAAAGCAUAGAUACACUUACAGUACCUAGAAAGAUAAACAAUACAGUACUUCUGUGUCAUGGGUGGGGAAAUUAAUUGGGAAAAAUGCCUUGAAGGGCUUAGGAGGAUGGUAAUGAAAUAAAGGUGGAAACACCGAUGUAGACUAGGGUUUGGUGGUUGGAUCCUUGCAGAAUCCUGGUGGUUUACUUUUCCCUUUAAUGUAUUUCUCUAUAUGUAAAUGGUGGGGCAGACUGGAAAUAAGAGCUGAGGGUUCAGUACUGACCCAAAAGACAGUGGCUGAAAUGAUGUUUAUUUCUGUCAUGUAAGCAGUCUGGUUCCACAAUGUCAGGGACCCAGGGUCCUUCCAACAAAAAUGUCACAGUUGUUUUUUAAAAAAUUUUUCUUUUGUGGCAAAAAAACAUAAAAUUUACCUUCUUAACCUUUUUUUUUUUUUUUUUUGAGACAAGGUCUUGCUCUGUUGCCCAGGCUGUGAUCUCGGCUCACUGAAGCCUCCAUCUCCUGGGUUCAAGCGAUUCUUGUGCCUCAGCCUCCCAAGUGUCUGAGAUUACAGGCGCCCGCCACCACAUCUGGCUAAUUUUUGUAUUUUUAGUAGUGAUGGGGUUUCACCAUGUUGGCCAGGCUGGUCUCAAACUCCUGACCUCAAGUGAUCUGCCCGCCUUGGCCUCCCAAAGUGAUGGGAUUGCCACUGCGCCUGCCUGAUCUUAACUAUUUAUAAAUGUCCAGUUCAGUGGUAUUACAUUCAUAAUGUUGUGCAACCAUCACCAGCAUAUACCUCCAAAACUCUUCAUCUUCUAAGACUGAAACUCUGUGCCCAUUAGACCACCAUACUGUUUCCACAGUGAUUGUACCAUUUUACAUUCUCACCAAUGGUGCACAAGGGUACCAGUGUCUCCACAUCUUUACCAACACUUUAUUAUUUUCUGCUUUUUUAUGUUUUGAUAGUAGUCACCCUAAUGGGUAUGAGGUGGUAUCUCAUUGCAGUUUUGAUUUCCAUUUCCUUAAUGAUUAGUGAUGUUGAGCAUCUUUCCAUGUACUUGUUGGCCAUCUGUAGAUCUUCUUUAGAGAAAUGUCUAGUCAAGUCCUUUGCCCGUUUUUGAAUUGGGUUUUGUUGUUGAGUUUUAGGAGUUCUGUCCUGUGCUUGUUCUCAUAGUCAGUGAUCAUAACAUUUACAUAACAGGUGGCAGAACAGAGAAAGAAGGGGAGGUGGAACUCCCCUUAAUUUUGAGGGCACACCCAGAAGUUUCUUUCAUUUCUUUUGGGGGUAACUUCAGCUGAUGUAUUCUAUUGUUUUAUAAAACAAAACAAUUUUAUAUUUGCAUUACAAUAUGUUUAGAGAAAAGAUAGCCAUCAAAUACAGUGAAUGUUUCAAGGACAACUGGUAUAUUUUCUCAGCCAACUUUGAACUCUGUGAUCCUAGAUUCAUUUAAUCUCUUUUUUAGAAAAAUAUUUUUUAUUUUUAUUUUUAGAGAUAGUAUCUCACUCUGUUGCCCAGGCUGGAGUGCAGUGGUGCAAUUACAGCUCAUUGUAGCCUUGACCUUCUGGGCUCAAGCAAUCUUCCCACCUCAGCCUCCUGAGUAGUUGGGGGUGUUACCUGGAAGGGCAGAGUCCUCAGCUCUUAGUCUUCCUUGGGAGAAGGAAUUUGGCCACGAGGCAGUUUAGCCAAAAAAGAGAGAAUUGAUUGAAGGAAAAUAGAGAGCAGAGAGUUUAUUUAGAGAGACAGAAUACUCUGAAAGAUGAGGCAGAGCCAGCUGUGGAGACAGAAUGAGCCAGCAGCCACCCCGAGAAUUCUGCGGUGGGUUUUAAUGAUGUCAGAUUUUUUUCUGGAAGUUCCCACCUCUGUCUUAAGUCCCUGCCUUUUUUCUUUGUCUAGUUUCCCUGCUUCUGCCUUAAGUCCCUGCCUUUAUCCCUGCCGCAUUCCCUCCCAGGCUCACGGGACCCUCUCUUACUACUAGUUGGUGGGUAUGUGUGGCCGGUGUUGGGUAUGAACUCUACCAAAUGGCUGCAUUGCUCAUUGCCGCCACCCCAGGAGGUUGUAUAGAGGUCAGAUCUAUAUUUAUUGCACCUGGUAUCUCUUAGGAAUUUCUGCUUUGCCCUCUUUCCCUCCUUAUCAGCACACAGCUAGUGACAUUCUGAGAGGUUAACUGAAGAGUGGGUGAUUACUAGGAGUCUUAAGGGGUGCUCCUUUCUGCAUAGGUAUUUACCCUCCUCCUUGCUCACACUGGACUCAUUGCCCACCCCCUCCACCAUUAGAGAUGUUAAUAAUUAGCAAAUUUUGGGUGGUCCUUGGGCAUGAGGCUUCCCAGACCUUCCUUUUCUCAGGGGCUCCCCCUCCUGCUCAUGUCUAGCUGUUUGCCUACUGUAACAGGACUACAGGCGUGUGUCACCACACCCGGCUAAUGUUUGUAUUUUUCUGUAGAGAUGGGGUUUCACCAUGUUGCCCAGGCUGGUCUUGAACUCCUGGCCUCAAGUGAUUCUCCCUCCUUGGCCUCCCAAAGUACUGCGAUUACAGGCAUGAGACACUGUGCCUGGCGUGAUAUCUUCAGAAGUUUCAUGUAUCACUACUCAUAUCCCAUGAACCAUAACUUGGUCACAUGGCUUCAUGUAGCUACAAGGAAGCCUGGGAAAUACAGCCUACCUGGGCAGCUUUGUGCCCAGCUAAAAAUUCUGUGAUCAUAGAAGAAUGGAUGUUGAGGAACAACUGGCAGUACCUGCCAUUACUCAUGUGAAAAGUACAUUCUUUUGAAGGUUAAGGUUGAUGUGUAUGGCGUCAGGCACACCAUUAGUCCCUCCCUUCCUUCCUUCCUUCCUCCCUCCCUCUCUCCCUCCCCCUUUCCCUUCCUUCCUUUCCUUCCUCCCUCCCCUUCCUCCCCUUCCUCCUUCCUUCCCUUUCUUCCUUUUCUUUCUUCUCACUCUUCUUUUCCUUUCUUCCUCCCUCCCUCCCUUUCCCUCUCUUUUUUCUUUUUCUUUUCUUUCUUCUUUCUUUUUCCUUCUUUCUUUCCCUUCCCCUCCCCUCCCCUGCCCUCCCCUCCCCUCGUCUGCCUGCCUGCCUGCCUUCCUUUCUUCCUUCCUUCCUUCCUCUCCCUCCCCCUUCUUUCCUCCCUGCCUCCCUUCCUCCCUCCUUCCUUUCCUUUUUUUUUUUCUCUUUCUCUUUCUUUUCUUUCAUGUUGCUCUAUCAACCAGGGUGGUGUGUAGUGGUGCAAUCACAGUUCACUACAGGCUCAAACGAUCCUCCCACCUCAGCCUCCCGAGUAACUGGGACUACACCAGGCUAAUUUUUUAAUUUUUAUUUUUGUAGAGAUGGGGUUUCACCAUGUUGCCCAGGCUGGUAUGGAACGCCAGGCCUCAAGCGAUCCUCCUGCCUUUGCCUCCCAAAAUGCUGGGAUUACAGUGAGCCACUGUACUUGGCCUGAUGUCUUCUUGAAUUUCAAAAACUCUUACGAAUCUCACGCACUCUGUUGCCCAGGUUGGAGUGCAGCGGUGCAAUCUCGGCUGACUGCAACCUCUGCCUCCUGAGUUUAAGCAAUUCUCCUGCCUCAGCCUCCCGAGUAGCUGGGAUUACAGGUGCCCACCACCAUGCCUGGCUAAUUUUUGUAUUUUUAGUAGGGAUGGGGUUUCACCAUGUUAGCCAGACUGGUCUGAAACUCCUGACCUAAAAUGAUCCACCCGCCUUGGCCUCCCAAAGUGCUGGGAUUACAGGUGUGAGCCACUGCGCCAUGCCUUGUUCCACUUUAUCUUUCAAGAGUAAGUUUCAUCGUGGAUUAUGGUUAAAGACAAGUGCUGAUUUGGUUUUCCUACCUGAUCACGAGGCCACUCGAUAGAACUAGUAAGCUAUGCCUUGGGCCUGCAGGAUGGCACCUGACUUGAAGAUAGCACCUGACUUGAAGAUGGCACCUGACUAGCAUUUGGACUGGUUUGCAGGCUGAGCACAGGGUUGCUCCAGGUGGGCCCAAAUGCUGAAGAGCCUCAUGUUAGAGUUUUUCACCUCUGCGAUGGAACUGUGGUGGACUCCAGUAUCAUCAUUCCAGGGAGGCAUAGCCGCACCAACUGUGUUCCCAGGUUUCACAUGGAGAAGGGUUUUAGAAAGUGCAGAUAGCCUUGAAACCAUUGGUUUCCUACCACUGUUUAUUUCAGCAUAACUUUUUUUGUGUGGAAUGCUAGCUCUGGAAGAGCAGAAAUAAAUACAGCUUAAGCUUUGAACCAUAUCCUGCUGUACUUUUUCUCAUAAGCUGGAAAUAGAAUUUUCUAACACCGUUUGUGGUUGGAAAUACUGAAUUUAAAUGGGACUGCAGAUAUAAACAAAAAGAACAAGAUGUGGAUUGAUGUGCCUAUUUCAGUAAAACACAGCCACAUUAUUUCUGAAAUAUGGAUACUAAAGAUGACAAGUAGAAAAAAAAUUGGAGAUGUGCACAGUUG